Molecule: ribosomal RNA, 457 nt
Filed under: uncultured Bacteroidota bacterium
Lineage: Bacteria; Pseudomonadati; Bacteroidota
Description: bacterial SSU rRNA
Rfam family: Bacterial small subunit ribosomal RNA
Source: RNAcentral
UAGGGAAUAUUGGUCAAUGGAUGGAAGUCUGAACCAGCCAUGCCGCGUGCAGGAAGAAGGCCUUCUGGGUUGUAAACUGCUUUUGCCAGGGGCUAAAAGGCCCAUGCGUGGGAAAUUGAAAGUACCUGGUGAAUAAGCCACGGCUAACUACGUGCCAGCAGCCGCGGUAAUACGUAGGUGGCAAGCGUUGUCCGGAUUUAUUGGGUUUAAAGGGUGCGUAGGCGGCUUAUUAAGUCAGUGGUGAAAUAUCGCAGCUUAACUGUGAGGGUGCCAUUGAUACUGAUGAGCUUGAGUACAGAUGAGGUAGGCGGAAUUGACGGUGUAGCGGUGAAAUGCAUAGAUAUCGUCAAGAACACCUAUAGCGAAGGCAGCUUACUAAGCUGUAACUGACGCUGAGGCACGAAAGUGUGGGGAUCAAACAGGAUUAGAUACCCUGGUAGUCCACACUGUAAACGUU